AUCCAGCUGACGAGUCCCGAACAGGACGAAACGAAGGUCCUGGAU
Molecule: non-coding RNA, 45 nt
Organism: Schistosoma haematobium
Lineage: Eukaryota; Metazoa; Platyhelminthes; Trematoda; Strigeidida; Schistosomatidae
Source: Rfam